RNAcentral lists this ribosomal RNA (392 nucleotides) under uncultured bacterium. RNAcentral describes it as "partial 16S ribosomal RNA". It matches the Rfam family "Bacterial small subunit ribosomal RNA", at positions 523 to 918 of the family's 1533-position model. The record is from RNAcentral.
AUACGGAGGAUGCGAGCGUUAUCCGGAUUUAUUGGGUUUAAAGGGAGCGUAGGCGGGAGCUUAAGUCAGCGGUUAAAUGGUGCGGCUCAACCGUGCCCUGCCGUUGAAACUGGGUUUCUUGAGAGUGCAAGAGGCGGAUGGAAUUCAUGGUGUAGCGGUGAAAUGCUUAGAUAUCAUGAAGAACUCCGAUUGCGAAGGCAGUCCGCUGGGGCACGUCUGACGCUGAUGCUCGAAGGUGCGGGAAUCAAACAGGAUUAGAUACCCUGGUAGUCCGCACGGUAAACGAUGAUUACCCGCUGUCGGCGGCAGACAGUCGGCGGCCAAGCGAAAGCGAUAAGUAAUCCACCUGGGGAGUACGCCGGCAACGGUGAAACUUAAAGGAAUUGACGGGG